Molecule: ribosomal RNA, 369 nt
Filed under: uncultured Glomeromycotina
Lineage: Eukaryota; Fungi; Glomeromycota
Description: LSU rRNA
Source: RNAcentral
UUGAAAGGGAAACGAUUGAAGUCAGUCGUGCUGGCGCGAAAUCAACCUUCUCGUCUUGAGAUCACAUGGCGUGGCGAGCCUCAAAACCGUCACGAAGCGUGAACUCUUGGUGAAAUGGAGCACUUUCGUGUCCGCUGGUUAACAUCAAUUUCGAACGUCAUAAAAAGGCUGGAGGGAUGUGGCUCCUUCGGGAGUGUUAUAACCUUUAGCGGAAUGUGGUGUUCGGGAUUGAGGAUUGCAACGAAUACCUUUAGGGCUGUUCCACCUGGCUUCUCUUUGGUAUCCUGGUGACGACAGCUUGCUGACGUCUUUACGAUUCGCCUUUGAACAGGCUAGAGUGUGAGCAAAUUCGUUAAGGAUGUUGACGUA